RNAcentral lists this ribosomal RNA (138 nucleotides) under uncultured eukaryote. Its description in RNAcentral is "partial 18S ribosomal RNA". It matches the Rfam family "Eukaryotic small subunit ribosomal RNA", at positions 1299 to 1458 of the family's 1831-position model. The record is from RNAcentral.
UGGUGGAGCGAUUUGUCUGGUUAAUUCCGAUAACGAACGAGACUCUAGCCUAUUAAAUAGUUCGCCGAUCACGUAACGUCGGCGUCAACUUCUUAGAGGGACAAGUGGCGUUUAGCCUCGCGAGAUUGAGCAAUAACA